UGGGGAAUAUUGCACAAUGGGCGCAAGCCUGAUGCAGCCAUGCCGCGUGUAUGAAGAAGGCCUUCGGGUUGUAAAGUACUUUCAGCGGGGAGGAAGGCGAUGUGGUUAAUAACCGCGUCGAUUGACGUUACCCGCAGAAGAAGCACCGGCUAACUCCGUGCCAGCAGCCGCGGUAAUACGGAGGGUGCAAGCGUUAAUCGGAAUUACUGGGCGUAAAGCGCACGCAGGCGGUCUGUCAAGUCGGAUGUGAAAUCCCCGGGCUCAACCUGGGAACUGCAUCCGA
This 283-nucleotide ribosomal RNA is filed under the name bacterium. RNAcentral describes it as "partial 16S ribosomal RNA". It matches the Rfam family "Bacterial small subunit ribosomal RNA", at positions 355 to 630 of the family's 1533-position model. The record is from RNAcentral.